AGAUGCGAGAGUAGAGCAUAUCAAUAAGCGGAGGAAAAGAAACUAACUAAGGAUUCCCUCAGUAACGGCGAGUGAAGCGGGAAGAGCUCAAAUUUGAAAUCUUCAAGGUUCUACCUUGACGAAUUGUAGUUUAAAGAAGUGUUUUCUGUUGGAGUUUCGGUAAAAGUUCUUUGGAAUAGGACAUCAUAGAGGGUGAGAAUCCCGUAUUUGACCAUUACUUUCCAGCUGUGUGAUACACUAUCGAAGAGUCGGAUUGUUUGGGAAUGCAGUCCAAAAUGGGUGGUAAAUUUCAUCUAAAGCUAAAUAUUGGCGAGAGACCGAUAGCGAACAAGUACCGUGAGGGAAAGAUGAAAAGAACUUUGAAAAGAGAGUUAAACAGUACGUGAAAUUGUCAAAAGGGAAGCGUUUGACACCAGUGUUGUUUAGUUGAAAAUCAAUUCAAUAAUUUUUUGAUUUUUUUGAGUAGUAUUGACUUCAUCAGCUUGCUGCUUUCUUCUCAGAAAUUAUUGAAUGCACUUUUCAGUUAACAAGUCAACAUCAAUUUCUUUUGUUGUAAAAGGGUAAGAGGAAGGUGGCUUACGCUUCGGCGUCAAGUGUUUAUAGCCUUUUAUCUCUGCAAUCGGAGAGAUUGAGGUACAUGCAGCGUAGACUCCUUCGGGGUUAGAUACACUUGUGCUAAGCUAUAGCCUUGUAUAGACAACUUGUUGACUAUGCUCAGUCAUGUAGCUUACUCGCUGAUGCUAUUUUACCUACGCUUAGGAUGUUGACGCGCGUGUGUGCGUG
Molecule: ribosomal RNA, 783 nt
Filed under: uncultured Neocallimastigales
Lineage: Eukaryota; Fungi; Neocallimastigomycota; Neocallimastigomycetes; Neocallimastigales
Description: partial large subunit ribosomal RNA
Rfam family: Eukaryotic large subunit ribosomal RNA
Source: RNAcentral